This 600-nucleotide ribosomal RNA is filed under the name Blastobotrys adeninivorans. RNAcentral describes it as "eukaryotic LSU rRNA". It matches the Rfam family "Eukaryotic large subunit ribosomal RNA", at positions 69 to 664 of the family's 3401-position model. Lineage: Eukaryota; Fungi; Ascomycota; Dipodascomycetes; Dipodascales; Trichomonascaceae. The record is from RNAcentral.
CACGGGAUUGCCCAGUAACGGCGAGCGAGCGGCAAAGUCCAAAUUUGAAAUCUGGCGUCCUACGGGCGUCCGAGUUGUAAUUUGAAGAUGGUAACUUUGGGUUUGGCUCUUGCAUAAGUUCCUUGGAACAGGACGUCAUAGAGGGUGAGAAUCCCGUUCAUGGUAAGAUGCCCAUUCCUUUGCUCAGUGCCUUCGAAGAGUCGAGUUGUUUGGGAAUGCAGCUCUAAGUGGGUGGUAAAUUCCAUCUAAGACUAAAUAUUGGCGAGAGACCGAUAGCGAACAAGUACAGUGAUGGAAAGAUGAAAAGAACUUUGAAAAGAGAGUGAAAAAGUACGUGAAAUUGUUGAAAGGGAAGGGCUUGAAGUCAGACUUUGUAUUCAGUGAUCAACUGUCUUUCGGGACUGUGCACUCGCUGUUUACUGGGCCAACAUCGGUUUUGGCGGCGAGAUAAAUGCAUUGGAACGUGGCUCUAUCUUCGGAUGGAGUGUUAUAGCCUUUGUAAAUAUCGCCUGCUGGGACCGAGGACUGCGCAUCUGCUAGGAUGUUGGCGUAAUGACUUUAAGCCACCCGUCUUGAACCACGGGGACCACAACACAUUUG